AUGAGCUGGACCGUACGUGACCUGACCUCGCCGGCGAAGAGAGAAGUGGUUAGAGAAGUAGUUGCUGCUCAUCGUGCAGCCAUUCUGUGCAUGCAAGAGACCAAGAUAGAUGUUUGGUCGCCAGCCCUCGUCUGCGACAUUGGUGGCCCAAUGCUGCAGGGCUGCGCAGUCAUUCCCGCCAUCGGCACCCGCGGUGGCAUUGCCAUCUUGUGGAACCGAGACCUUGUAGAUGUCGUCACCCACGCCAUUGGCCAAUUUGCAGUCACGGUCAGGGUCACCUUAGCUAGAUGCCACACCUCCUUCUAGCUAACCACGGUCUACGGACUGACUGACGAUGCGAACAAGGAGGCUUUCCUCGCUGAGAUCUCGAGUGCUGCCCCACCUGUGUCUGAGCCUUGGAUAAUCUGCGGCGAUUUCAAUCAAAUCUACGAGGCUAGGGCGAAGAACAACCUCAACCUCAAUAGGAGGUUGAUGGGCCGUUUCAAGGCGGCCAUAGAUAGAGCGGGUCUUUGUCAGCUCAAAUGCGGCAACCGCAAGUUCACCUGGAGCAACGAGCGCGACAACCCAACCCUAGUGGGCAUCGACAAUUUCUUCUGCAAUGCGCCAUGGGAAACCCAAUUCCCCCUGGCCAUGCUCAUGGCUGCCUCCACGGCCUGCUCCGACCAUUGCCCACUGGUGCUGUCAAAUGCGGCAGGACCCCGCCAUUGCAAGUGCUCCGACCUUCUGGCCGCGCUUCCCGCGCUUUGCGGACACGGUGACCGCGGCCUGUGGCUGCUUCAUGCGCGUUCACCCACCUCCACGUCAAGCUUGCCCAUACGGUCAAGGACCUCCACAUUUGGAGCUAGGGCCUCUUCGAUGAUGCAAAGAUGCAAUUCCAUAUGGCCUGCGAGGUCAUCUUGCGCCUCGACGAGGCCCAGGAAAGGCGCCAGCUCUUGCCGGCCGAACGGGACCUACGCAAGGGCCUCAAGCUCGGAUUGCUGA
This 981-nucleotide ribosomal RNA is filed under the name Triticum aestivum (bread wheat). RNAcentral describes it as "partial small subunit ribosomal RNA". The record is from RNAcentral. Lineage: Eukaryota; Viridiplantae; Streptophyta; Magnoliopsida; Poales; Poaceae.